AGUGAACGCUGGCGGUAGGCCUAACACAUGCAAGUCGAACGGCAGCACAGUAAGAGCUUGCUCUUACGGGUGGCGAGUGGCGGACGGGCGAGGAAUACAUCGGAAUCUACUUUUUCGUGGGGGAUAACGUAGGGAAACUUACGCUAAUACCGCAUACGACCUACGGGUGAAAGCAGGGGAUCUUCGGACCUUGCGCGAUUGAAUGAGCCGAUGUCGGAUUAGCUAGUUGGCGGGGUAAAGGCCCACCAAGGCGACGAUCCGUAGCUGGUCUGAGAGGAUGAUCAGCCACACUGGACUGAGACACGGUCCAGACUCCUACGGGAGGCAGCAGUGGGGAAUAUUGGACAAUGGGCGCAAGCCUGAUCCAGCCAUACCGCGUGGGUGAAGAAGGCCUUCGGGUUGUAAAGCCCUUUUGUUGGGAAAGAAAAGCAGCAGGUUAAUACCCCGCUGUUCUGACGGUACCCAAAGAAUAAGCACCGGCUAACUUCGUG
Molecule: ribosomal RNA, 491 nt
Filed under: uncultured bacterium
Lineage: Bacteria
Description: partial 16S ribosomal RNA
Rfam family: Bacterial small subunit ribosomal RNA
Source: RNAcentral